Molecule: small nuclear RNA, 107 nt
Filed under: Mus spicilegus (steppe mouse)
Lineage: Eukaryota; Metazoa; Chordata; Mammalia; Rodentia; Muridae
Source: RNAcentral
GUGCUCACUUCGGCAGCACAUAUACUAAAAUUGGAACGAUACAGAGAAGAUUAGCAUGGCCCCUGCCCAAGGAUGACACUCAAAUUCGUGAAGCAUUCCAUAUUUUU